RNAcentral lists this ribosomal RNA (436 nucleotides) under uncultured bacterium. RNAcentral describes it as "partial 16S ribosomal RNA". It matches the Rfam family "Bacterial small subunit ribosomal RNA", at positions 29 to 507 of the family's 1533-position model. The record is from RNAcentral.
AGCGAACGCUGGCGGCAGGCUUAACACAUGCAAGUCGAGCGGGCAUCCUUGUGGUGUCAGCGGCAGGCGGGUGAGUAACGCGUGGGAACGUGCCCUUCGGUUCGGAAUAACUCAGGGAAACUUGAGCUAAUACCGGAUACGCCCUUUUGGGGAAAGGUUUACUGCCGAAGGAUCGGCCCGCGUCUGAUUAGCUAGUUGGUGAGGUUACGGCUCACCAAGGCGACGAUCAGUAGCUGGUCUGAGAGGAUGAUCAGCCACACUGGGACUGAGACACGGCCCAGACUCCUACGGGAAGCAGCAGUGGGGAAUAUUGGACAAUGGGGGCAACCCUGAUCCAGCCAUGCCGCGUGAGUGAUAACAGCCUUAGGGUUGUAAAGCUCUUUUCUCCGGGACGAUAAUGACGGUACCGGAGGAAUAAGCCCCGGCUAACUUCGUG